UUUCACUGGGGAAGUGUGAAGUGCUCUUCAUGCACAGUACAAGAGGCAAGCAGCCAGAGGGCAAGCAGAGGAGUAACAGGGCUGGACAAGAGCAGACAGAAGUUUGCUGAAUAUUUGUGAUGUGGCACUGCAAAACCAGGAACAAGUCACCAGAGCAUAAAUGGAGAAAAGCUUGGAAUCCACACUUUCAGGAUAUGUUAAUGCUGCUUAUCGCUGAAGUUUGGGCGCUUGGGCAUACGCCAGCUGAAGUUGCCUGUAUUGGCAGAAUGUUGCAUGCAGUUGCAGCAUUCUGCCUGCUGGCUCCGCUGUGGGAACUGGAGGUGGACCUCCUCCUGAUUAUCACUUCCUGUUUGAAGCCUCCAGCAGAAGAAGCUGGAUCCUCAGCUGGUGUGUUGACCAAUCCCAGAAGAGCUUUUCAUAUCAAAUACUGUACUUCAGCGCCUUCAGGCUGGCGACCUGUCAGUCAGCUGACAGGUGGGUAGCAGUUGUGAAGAUAAGGUGGAGCUACUGGAGCUACUCAUGACAGAAGAUUCGCUUGGACCAGAGAUUCUAUGUUUGACUUUGUCUCUUUUUGAACAAAGCUCUCAAAGAAGCUACUUCACCCAAUAAAUAAACAUAUUCUCUAAAGUUGAACG
Molecule: long non-coding RNA, 635 nt
Organism: Poeciliopsis prolifica (blackstripe livebearer)
Lineage: Eukaryota; Metazoa; Chordata; Actinopteri; Cyprinodontiformes; Poeciliidae
Exons: 6
Source: RefSeq, a predicted model, not a curated record